UGCAAGUCGUACGAGAAGGCCCACUGAAGCAGAUUGAAGUGGAGUGCUGCACAAGAUGGAUUCAGUGGACGUGGAUUCUCCUUCUAGUGGCAAACGGGUGAGUAACACGUGGGUACCUACCUCUAAGAUUGGGAUACCGGUUGGAAACGAUUGUUAAUACCAAAUGUUAUCUACGGAUUAAAGGUGCCCUUAAAGCACCGCUUAGAGAUGGGCCUGCGGCGCAUUAGCUAGUUGGUGAGGUAACGGCUCACCAAGGCGACGAUGCGUAGCCGAACUGAGAGGUUGAUCGGCCACAUUGGGACUGAGACACGGCCCAGACUCCUACGGGAGACAGCAGUUAGGAAUAUUCGUCAAUGGGGGGCAACCCUGAACGAGCAAUGCCGCGUGAGUGAUGACGGUCCUCCUGGAUUGUAAAACUCUGUUGUUUAGGAAAAACUGCACAUAUAGGAAAUGAUAUGUGUUUGAUGGUACUAUUCAAGAAAGCCACGGCUAACUACGUGCCAGCAGCCGC
Molecule: ribosomal RNA, 511 nt
Filed under: uncultured bacterium
Lineage: Bacteria
Description: bacterial SSU rRNA
Rfam family: Bacterial small subunit ribosomal RNA
Source: RNAcentral